AACGAACGCUGGCGGCAGGCUUAACACAUGCAAGUCGAGCGCCCCGCAAGGGGAGCGGCAGACGGGUAAGUAACGCGUGGGAACGUACCUUUUGGUUCGGAACAACUCCGGGAAACUGGAGCUAAUACCGGAUAAGCCCUAACGGGGAAAGAUUUAUCGCCGAAAGAUCGGCCCGCGUCUGAUUAGCUAGUUGGUGAGGUAACGGCUCACCAAGGCGACGAUCAGUAGCUGGUCUGAGAGGAUGAUCGGCCACGCUGGGACUGAGACACGGCCCAGACUCCUACGGGAGGCAGCAGUGGGGAAUAUUGGACAAUGGGCGCAAGCCUGAUCCAGCCAUGCCGCGUGAGUGAUGAAGGCCUUAGGGUUGUAAAGCUCUUUUGUCCGGGAAGAUAAUGACUGUACCGGAAGAAUAAGCCCCGGCUAACUUCGUG
This 431-nucleotide ribosomal RNA is filed under the name uncultured bacterium. RNAcentral describes it as "partial 16S ribosomal RNA". It matches the Rfam family "Bacterial small subunit ribosomal RNA", at positions 29 to 507 of the family's 1533-position model. The record is from RNAcentral.